This 336-nucleotide unclassified non-coding RNA is filed under the name soil metagenome. RNAcentral describes it as "partial contains 5.8S ribosomal RNA, internal transcribed spacer 2, and large subunit ribosomal RNA". The stretch from base 1 to 120 matches the Rfam family "5.8S ribosomal RNA", at positions 35 to 154 of the family's 154-position model. The record is from RNAcentral.
GAUGAAGAACGUAGCGAAAUGCGAUAAGUAAUGUGAAUUGCAGAAUUCAGUGAAUCAUCGAAUCUUUGAACGCACAUUGCGCCCGCCAGAAUACUGGCGGGCAUGCCUGUUCGAGCGUCAUUUCAACCAUCAAGCCCCAGGCUUGUGUUGGGGACCUGCGGCUGCCGCAGGCCCUGAAAACCAGUGGCGGGCUCGCUGUCACACCGGGCGUAGUAGAUUUUAUCUCGCUCAGGGCGUGCUGCGGGUUCCGGCCGUUAAAAAGCCUUUUUUACCCAAGGUUGACCUCGGAUCAGGUAGGAAGACCCGCUGAACUUAAGCAUAUCAAUAAGCGGAGGA